This 253-nucleotide ribosomal RNA is filed under the name uncultured bacterium. RNAcentral's name for it is "partial 16S ribosomal RNA". It matches the Rfam family "Bacterial small subunit ribosomal RNA", at positions 524 to 776 of the family's 1533-position model. The record is from RNAcentral.
UACGGAGGGUGCAAGCGUUAAUCGGAAUUACUGGGCGUAAAGCGCGCGUAGGCGGUUUUUUAAGUCGGAUGUGAAAGCCCCGGGCUCAACCUGGGAACUGCACCCGAUACUGGAAGACUAGAAUGCGGGAGAGGGAGGUAGAAUUCCAUGUGUAGCAGUGAAAUGCGUAGAUAUAUGGAGGAAUACCAGUGGCGAAGGCGGCCUCCUGGCUCGACAUUGACGCUGAGGUGCGAAAGCGCGGGGAGCAAACGGC